AUUGAACGCUGGCGGCAUGCCUUACACAUGCAAGUCGAACGGCAGCACGGGAGCAAUCCUGGUGGCGAGUGGCGAACGGGUGAGUAAAGUAUCGGAACGUGCCCAGUCGUGGGGGAUAACGUAGCGAAAGUUACGCUAAUACCGCAUACGAUCUAUGGAUGAAAGCGGGGGAUCGCAAGACCUCGCGCGAUUGGAGCGGCCGAUAUCAGAUUAGGUAGUUGGUGGGGUAAGGGCUCACCAAGCCGACGAUCUGUAGCUGGUCUGAGAGGACGACCAGCCACACUGGGACUGAGACACGGCCCAGACUCCUACGGGAGGCAGCAGUGGGGAAUUUUGGACAAUGGGCGCAAGCCUGAUCCAGCCAUGCCGCGUGCAGGAUGAAGGCCUUCGGGUUGUAAACUGCUUUUGUACGGAACGAAAAGGUUUGGCUUAAUACGUUGAACUCAUGACGGUACCGUAAGAAUAAGCACCGGCUAACUACGUGCCAGCCGCCGCGGUAA
Molecule: ribosomal RNA, 500 nt
Filed under: uncultured bacterium
Lineage: Bacteria
Description: partial 16S ribosomal RNA
Rfam family: Bacterial small subunit ribosomal RNA
Source: RNAcentral